This 279-nucleotide ribosomal RNA is filed under the name uncultured bacterium. RNAcentral's name for it is "partial 16S ribosomal RNA". It matches the Rfam family "Bacterial small subunit ribosomal RNA", at positions 506 to 784 of the family's 1533-position model. The record is from RNAcentral.
UGCCAGCCGCCGCGGUAAGACGGGAGAUGCAAGCGUUAUUCGGAUUUAUUGGGCGUAAAGCGUACGUAGGCGGACUGAUCAGUCAGAGGUGAAAUCCCAGGGCUCAACCCUGGAACUGCCUUUGAUACUGUCAGUCUUGAGUUCGAGAGAGGUGAGUGGAAUUCCAAGUGUAGAGGUGAAAUUCGUAGAUAUUUGGAGGAACACCAGUGGCGAAGGCGGCCUCCUGGCUCGACACUGACACUGAGGCGCGAAAGUGUGGGGAGCAAACAGGAUUAGAUA